Labrus mixtus (cuckoo wrasse) is the source of this 1535-nucleotide long non-coding RNA. RefSeq lists it as uncharacterized. The transcript has 2 exons. NCBI's taxonomy places the organism in Eukaryota, Metazoa, Chordata, Actinopteri, Labriformes, Labridae. The record is from RefSeq and is a predicted model, not a curated record.
GGUGGAGGUAAAGGGCCCCUUGGCUCAGGAGGCUUCCUAAUUAAGAACCAUGAACUACAGUCCAUUAGUUCACAUUCACAUUGUCGGACUAGUUGUUAAAGACGGUUGACUUUGUUGUUCUUUCUAUAAAAAGUGUCUUAUCACUUGUGUUGAAAGUCUUUAUAUAUUGUUGAUAGGGCUUUUUCUUUCUUAAAAGUAUUAUUUGUAUUAUUGCUGCACCAAAGCUUCCGCUGAGAGACAAUGAAUUUGUGAAAUUGAAUUGAAUUCAAUACAGGUGUGUUUAAAAGUGUUCACCUACCAGGAAACUCACUGCAUGAAACAUGAAGUUCAAACUUAAGAGAGUUAAAAGAUUUUCUCGGGAUGAACUGAUGCAUCGUUAUCGGACGAUUUCGGCUCUGUUGACAGACAUCAGAACAUGGCAGUAGCCAACGCUCAUUUGUUGUGCUUAAUCAAUUUAAUGCUUACAUCUAGUACAUCUAUAUGCUGAUUCAGAGAGGAGUUGUUUUAUUUGGCAGAAGGAGUCACCUGUUGAACAAACUCUGACUUGUUUUCAUCGUCAAACAUGAGAGAAAAAGGUGGCAUUGUGGGAGUUUUAGUCAUGAAAAAAACAUCUGAAUUGGCAAUCAGCUAAAUUCUUAUUUCGAACAUCAGUAUCGGCAUCACCCCUGAUUUUCCCAGUGGAUGCUUCUCUUAAGAUUUUCUGUUCAUCAUCAAAGCUAAACGAACGUCUGCUACUGCAGUGGUUAGUAAAACCUGAUAACAGCAUUGUUUGAACCAAAGAUAAACAAUGAUUGUUACAAAAGCAUGGUCUCAUCAAAUCGCUCCUUUAAAGUUGAUUUAAUGUUUCAGAAAGACAAAUAUUGGAUGGGAGGGUUCGCCUUCACCUCUUUAUAUGCGGCUGAGACCAAUCAGUCAACGUUGCCCGGGCAGCUUCAGCUUGGUUAGUUUAAAACACAGGCUGUGGCAUGUCCUGCCAGCCAGAAUCCACACCCUCUAACACAUACAGUACAAAUAAAUGUGACGCUUGUUGUUGGUCAUGAAACCUUUCAUUCUGCUCCAGAGAAGACGCCAAGUUUCAUUUCACUUUGAGUUCACUCCCAGUUUAACAUUUUCUAUUUCAUCUCGGCUCACGCACAAGUUGACAUCAACUCCAACAACCUUACUGUAAAAAAAAAAAAAAAUGCUCCACUUGGACUCCCACUUGUGUUUAUUUUGUGUAUAUGAAUGUGUAUAUUUGUGUGAGAUCCAAACACUGCACAAGUAGGAGGCAGAACUCCUAGGAGACAUUUUUAUUGAAAACCAUUUGAAACAUUUAAAAGAUGUGGUGCAGAGCUGCUCCUCGUGUAUUAUAACAGCCUCAUGUGUUUCACUCUCACUCUGCUCUGUUUACAUCUCAGCGCCAACAUACAGCUCCUGUGAUUUUUCCAGAAUAACUUCUUCGCAGACGGAAUGAAAAUGUGUCGAACUGAUUUCCUCUCGUGUGGAAACUUUGUCUUCUUUUUUGUAAAUAUGUAUAAAGGUCUGCCUUCAAACGA